RNAcentral lists this ribosomal RNA (448 nucleotides) under uncultured bacterium. Its description in RNAcentral is "bacterial SSU rRNA". It matches the Rfam family "Bacterial small subunit ribosomal RNA", at positions 329 to 792 of the family's 1533-position model. The record is from RNAcentral.
UUCCAGACUCCUACGGGAGGCAGCAGUGGGGGAUAUUGCACAAUGGGGGAAACCCUGAUGCAGCGACGCCGCGUGAGUGAAGACGGCCUUCGGGUUGUAAAGCUCUGUCAAUCGGGGCGAAGAAGAUGACGGUACCGAUGAAGGAAGCUCCGGCUAACUACGUGCCAGCAGCCGCGGUAAUACGUAGGGAGCAAGCGUUGUCCGGAAUUACUGGGUGUAAAGGGAGCGUAGGCGGGAUGGCAAGUAGAAUGUUAAAUCCAUCGGCUCAACCGGUGGCUGCGUUCUAAACUGCCGUUCUUGAGUGAAGUAGAGGCAGGCGGAAUUCCUAGUGUAGCGGUGAAAUGCGUAGAUAUUAGGAGGAACACCAGUGGCGAAGGCGGCCUGCUGGGCUUUAACUGACGCUGAGGCUCGAAAGCGUGGGGAGCAAACAGGAUUAGAUACCCGAGUA